This is a long non-coding RNA of Dermacentor silvarum, 383 nucleotides long. RefSeq lists it as uncharacterized. The transcript has 3 exons. The record is from RefSeq and is a predicted model, not a curated record. NCBI's taxonomy places the organism in Eukaryota, Metazoa, Arthropoda, Arachnida, Ixodida, Ixodidae.
AUAUUUGGGUAAAGUACCACAGACUAUAUUUUAAGUGAAAUAAGUUAUAUUUCCUCGUUUAAUUGGCCAACACUGUAGUUAGGCUCUGGGUAUAUUUUGGCCAGGCAUCAGCGUGCUACAGUCAAAUUCAAACUUGCGAAACUAAAAAGCAAAAAGAAAGGGAACUGUUUCCUCAUGCAUACCGCCGCAAACAGCCUGUUUUCACAACGCGGACGACACCGUGUCAAAGGAAGUUAUGGAAAAGAGACUGAAAGCAGUGCACUGGUACCCCUUGCAGCAAUUGGGUAAUGUGCUGUAGUAGUGAACUUUGCAAUAAAGUUUUAUCUCUGUUCAUAUUGCUUUCAGAUGUUAUAAAUGUGAUUUCCACAUCACACACAUACCAU